AAAUUGAAGAGUUUGAUCAUGGCUCAGAUUGAACGCUGGCGGCAGGCCUAACACAUGCAAGUCGAGCGGCAGCGGGAAAGUAGCUUGCUACUUUUGCCGGCGAGCGGCGGACGGGUGAGUAAUGCCUGGGAAAUUGCCCAGUCGAGGGGGAUAACAGUUGGAAACGACUGCUAAUACCGCAUGCGCCCUACGGGGGAAAGCAGGGGACCUUCGGGCCUUGCGCGAUUG
This 228-nucleotide ribosomal RNA is filed under the name Aeromonas caviae subsp. aquatica. RNAcentral describes it as "partial 16S ribosomal RNA". It matches the Rfam family "Bacterial small subunit ribosomal RNA", at positions 1 to 223 of the family's 1533-position model. The record is from RNAcentral. Lineage: Bacteria; Pseudomonadati; Pseudomonadota; Gammaproteobacteria; Aeromonadales; Aeromonadaceae.